CAUACACACACACACACACCCCUGCAUGUAUGUACUCCUUCCCGUUUACGCCAGUGUGAGCAAUACACAAGCAAUACACAAUACAUGGCAGUAUUGUAGUUCCCCAGCCAGAUGUUUGAGUGGUAUUAACAGUGGCUCAGGCAGUGAUGAGGCGCGGGGCUUGAGAGGUUUCCUGCCAGGUGUUACAGGGCGUUGUGUGUAAUCUUUGUCCCCCAGCCGGGUUAUUGAUUGUUAUUCAUGAAGCUUCUCUUUUCAAUUCAAGAGCGCCCUCGUCCCGGUCAAUAACCGUGAAUGAAGCAACAUCGGCCGCCAGUACAGUGCUCGCAGAUAGCGGUUGUGGGCGUGGGUAGGGGGCUGGAGGUGCGUCAAAGGACCCUUGCAGAGAGAUAUGCCCAGGCUCCUAUUGAAGCCCUCUUUUGUCCAAGAGUUCACAGUCGAUAAAACACCUUUCAGCUGCGGUGUGAUGGUUUCAACCUUUCAUUUGCUAUCUAGAUUAGAUCUCGACUCGGUGAUCUCUGUGAAAUCUACAUUGGAAUUUACCACAAGCUAUCUUCUGAAGUGGGUUGAUUGUGGAACUUGUUGAACUUCUCUCUUGUUGUGUGCUUAAACAAGGGAACACAGUGCCAUCCCAGGCAGCCAUGACCUCUCUCCACCUCCACAGGAGCUUCUUAUGAAAGAGAGAGAGGAAAAGAGAGAAAGACAGAGUGAAAUUGCUUGGCUCAUACUCAUCAAACAAAGAGAGGAUUUUUGUUUUAAUAGGACAUGUACCACAUAUUUUCUAGUAUGUUUGCUCACCUGAUGUUAUGCCAGUUGUAUCGGUCUGUCGAUGAUGUGUAAUAUUACACUAAUAUCUUAAUAAUCUGAAUUUGAUUUCUGUGCUGUAUCAGUCAGUGUGUGCAUGUGCGUAUGAGUAUGUACAUAUGCAUAUCAUUUAAAGUGUGGCAUUCCAUCCAAAAGAACGAGUAGUAAAGUCAGAGAAAGAUG
Molecule: long non-coding RNA, 984 nt
Organism: Gadus morhua (Atlantic cod)
Lineage: Eukaryota; Metazoa; Chordata; Actinopteri; Gadiformes; Gadidae
Exons: 2
Source: RefSeq, a predicted model, not a curated record